This 391-nucleotide ribosomal RNA is filed under the name uncultured bacterium. RNAcentral describes it as "bacterial SSU rRNA". It matches the Rfam family "Bacterial small subunit ribosomal RNA", at positions 28 to 419 of the family's 1533-position model. The record is from RNAcentral.
GACGAACGCUGGCGGCGUGCUUAACACAUGCAAGUCGAGCGGUAAGGGCCCUUUCGGGGGUACACGAGCGGCGAACGGGUGAGUAACACGUGGGUGACCUGCCCUCAGCUCUGGGAUAAGCCUGGGAAACCGGGUCUAAUACCGGAUAUGACUCCAUGACGCAUGUUGUGGGGUGGAAAGCCUUGUGCGGCUGAGGAUGGGCCCGCGGCCUAUCAGCUUGUUGGUGGGGUGAUGGCCUACCAAGGCGACGACGGGUAGCCGGCCUGAGAGGGCGACCGGCCACACUGGGACUGAGACACGGCCCAGACUCCUACGGGAGGCAGCAGUGGGGAAUCUUGCGCAAUGGGCGAAAGCCUGACGCAGCGACGCCGCGUGAGGGAUGACGGCCUGG